GAGAAUUCUAGAACCACCCAAGAGUCUUGGUGUGGAGACUGAAAAUGAACCAGCAUUGAAUAGAGACAUGAAUUGGGCAACGUCUCAUCUAUAGAAUGCAACGAAUAUUCCACUGAGCUGAGCUGAGGUGUUGGGCUUUAUAGACAGAAGAAGGUUGAAGAAAGCAGAAACAGGGAACAAAAAUGGAAGGAAGAAGAAAAGAAAAAAGAGAGAGAUCAUGAACUCACUGUUCUACCUCAAGCACUAAGAAUUCCAGUGUAUUGUCUCCUUCUCUUCUUCAUGCAUCUGUGCAGAAAAUGAAAUUAAAUGUUGCUUGCUAUAUA
This is a non-coding RNA of Ictidomys tridecemlineatus (thirteen-lined ground squirrel), 323 nucleotides long. Lineage: Eukaryota; Metazoa; Chordata; Mammalia; Rodentia; Sciuridae. The record is from RefSeq and is a predicted model, not a curated record.